Molecule: non-coding RNA, 300 nt
Filed under: Anaerolineae bacterium
Lineage: Bacteria; Bacillati; Chloroflexota; Anaerolineae
Description: T-box sequence
Rfam family: T-box leader
About the family: Uncharged tRNA acts as the effector for transcription antitermination of genes in the T-box leader family. T-boxes are found upstream of many aminoacyl-tRNA synthetase genes and some amino acid biosynthetic genes usually in Gram-positive bacteria.
Source: RNAcentral
UCAAACGCGUGGAUGGGAACGAGUAAACCUGCGGAACUGCCAGAGAGCCUGCGGUUGGUGCGAAGCGGGUCAGCGAAACAGGUUGAAAAUCAUCCCGGAGCGUCGAACUGAAAUCGGCUGUUAGUUAGGUAGUUUGAUAGUUGGGUAGUUCGAUAGUUGGCCGAGAGUAGGUGAGACGGGAUUGUUCCUCGUUAUCGGGACAAGAGUAUCGCCGCAAGGCCGUACUCAUGAGAGCCUGCGAGCCUUAAACAGCGAGUGCAGGAACCUGGGUGGUACCGCGGGCUGGCGCUCGUCCCAAAU